UGAGAAAUAGCUACCACUUCUACGGAGGGCAGCAGGCGCGCAAAUUGCCCAAUGUCGAGAAAAACGAUGAGGCAGCGAAAAGAAAUAGGCCUCCCAGGCACUCUGUGCUUGGGAGAUUACAAUGGGGGAUAUUNAAANNCAUCCAAAAUCGAGUAACAAUUGGAGGACAAGUCUGGUGCC
RNAcentral lists this ribosomal RNA (180 nucleotides) under Bodo sp. Its description in RNAcentral is "partial small subunit ribosomal RNA". It matches the Rfam family "Eukaryotic small subunit ribosomal RNA", at positions 397 to 568 of the family's 1831-position model. The record is from RNAcentral. Lineage: Eukaryota; Euglenozoa; Kinetoplastea; Eubodonida; Bodonidae.